UAGAGCUGCCCUAGAAGGUAUGCGGCGGACGGGUGAGUAACACGUGGGUAACCUGCCCAUAAGACUGGGAUAACUCCGGGAAACCGGGGCUAAUACCGGAUAACAUUUUGAACCGCAUGGUUCGAAAUUGAAAGGCGGCUUCGGCUGUCACUUAUGGAUGGACCCGCGUCGCAUUAGCUAGUUGGUGAGGUAACGGCUCACCAAGGCAACGAUGCGUAGCCGACCUGAGAGGGUGAUCGGCCACACUGGGACUGAGACACGGCCCAGACUCCUACGGGAGGCAGCAGUAGGGAAUCUUCCGCAAUGGACGAAAGUCUGACGGAGCAACGCCGCGUGAGUGAUGAAGGCUUUCGGGUCGUAAAACUCUGUUGUUAGGGAAGAACAAGUGCUAGUUGAAUAAGCUGGCACCUUGACGGUACCUAACCAGAAAGCCACGGCUAACUACGUGCCAGCAGCCGCGGUAAUACGUAGGUGGCAAGCGUUAUCCGGAAUUAUUGGGCGUAAAGCGCGCGCAGGUGGUUUCUUAAGUCUGAUGUGAAAGCCCACGGCUCAACCGUGGAGGGUCAUUGGAAAACUGGGAGACUUGAGUGCAGAAGAGGAAAGUGGAAUUCCAUGUGUAGCGGUGAAUGCGUAGAGAUAUGGAGGAACACAGUGGCGAGGCGACUUCCUGGUCUGUAACUGACACUGAGGCGCGAAAGCGUGGGGGAGCAAACAGGAUUAAAAUACCUGGUAUCCCACCCCGUUAACAAAUGAAGUNGUAAAUUGUUUAAAGGUUUCCCGNCCUUUNUUGCUUAAUUACCCCUUUACCACUCCCUGGGGGAGUUCGGGCNGGUUAACACUAAAGGAAUUAGCGGGNCCCCCCACGCGGUGACAUUUUGUAUUAUAAACAACCCAAAAACUUACUGUUUUUCUACCUUACACCAUAAUNGUGNCCNUGCGACAGUAGCGGUGUGUGUUUUCUCCCUCUAUAUAUUUACACACCCA
Molecule: ribosomal RNA, 984 nt
Filed under: bacterium NTN18
Lineage: Bacteria
Description: bacterial SSU rRNA
Rfam family: Bacterial small subunit ribosomal RNA (bases 1-806)
Source: RNAcentral